AGUCGAGCGAACAGACGAGGAGCUUGCUCCUCUGACGUUAGCGGCGGACGGGUGAGUAACACGUGGACAACCUACCUAUAAGACUGGGAUAACUUCGGGAAACCGGAGCUAAUACCGGAUAAUAUAUUGAACCGCAUGGUUCAAUAGUGAAAGACGGUUUUGCUGUCACUUAUAGAUGGAUCCGCGCCGCAUUAGCUAGUUGGUAAGGUAACGGCUUACCAAGGCAACGAUGCGUAGCCGACCUGAGAGGGUGAUCGGCCACACUGGAACUGAGACACGGUCCAGACUCCUACGGGAGGCAGCAGUAGGGAAUCUUCCGCAAUGGGCGAAAGCCUGACGGAGCAACGCCGCGUGAGUGAUGAAGGUCUUCGGAUCGUAAAACUCUGUUAUUAGGGAAGAAUAAAUGUGUAAGUAACUAUGCACGUCUUGACGGUACCUAAUCAGAAAGCCACGGCUAACUACGUGCCAGCAGCCGCGGUAAUACGUAGGUGGCAAGCGUUAUCCGGAAUUAUUGGGCGUAAAGCGCGCGUAGGCGGUUUUUUAAGUCUGAUGUGAAAGCCCACGGCUCAACCGUGGAGGGUCAUUGGAAACUGGAAAACUUGAGUGCAGAAGAGGAAAGUGGAAUUCCAUGUGUAGCGGUGAAAUGCGCAGAGAUAUGGAGGAACACCAGUGGCGAAGGCGACUUUCUGGUCUGUAACUGACGCUGAUGUGCGAAAGCGUGGGGAUCAAACAGGAUUAG
RNAcentral lists this ribosomal RNA (739 nucleotides) under uncultured Staphylococcus sp. RNAcentral describes it as "bacterial SSU rRNA". It matches the Rfam family "Bacterial small subunit ribosomal RNA", at positions 60 to 781 of the family's 1533-position model. The record is from RNAcentral. Lineage: Bacteria; Bacillati; Bacillota; Bacilli; Caryophanales; Staphylococcaceae.